Molecule: ribosomal RNA, 442 nt
Filed under: uncultured bacterium
Lineage: Bacteria
Description: partial 16S ribosomal RNA
Rfam family: Bacterial small subunit ribosomal RNA
Source: RNAcentral
CCUACGGGAGGCAGCAGUGGGGAAUAUUGGGCAAUGGGCGCAAGCCUGACCCAGCAACGCCGCGUGAAGGAAGAAGGCUUUCGGGGUGUAAACUUCCUUUAAGAGGGAAGAGCAGAAGACGGUACCUCUUGAAUAAGCCACGGCUAACUACGGGCCAGCAGCCGCGGUAAUACGCAGGUGGCAAGCGUUGUCCGGAUUUACGGGGUGUAAAGGGCGUGCAGCCGGGAAGACAAGUCAGAUGUGAAAGCUCAGGGCUCAACCCUGAGCCUGCAUUUGAAACUGUGUUCCUUGAGUGCUGGAGAGGCAGUCGGAAGUCCGUGUGUAGCGGUGAAAUGCGUAGAUAUACGGAGGAACACCAGUGGCGAAGGCGGAUUGCUGGACAGUAACUGACGCUGAGGCGCGAAAGCGUGGGGAGCAAACAGGAUUAGAUACCCUGGUAGUC